Molecule: ribosomal RNA, 499 nt
Filed under: uncultured bacterium
Lineage: Bacteria
Description: partial 16S ribosomal RNA
Rfam family: Bacterial small subunit ribosomal RNA
Source: RNAcentral
GACGAACGCUGGCGGCGUGCUUAACACAUGCAAGUCGAACGGGCCCGCUCUCUUUUUUGGGGGUGGGUUGAGUGGCGAACGGGUGAGUAUCACGUGAGUAACCUGCCCCCUGCUCCUGGAUAACUGCUUGAAAGGGCGGCUAAUACGGGGUGUGCCGGCUGGUCCGCAUGGGCCUGGUCGGGAUAGUUUCAUCUUCGGGUGUUUCGGUGGGGGAUGGGCUCGCGGCCUAUCAGCUUGUUGGUGGGGUGAUGGCCCACCAAGGCGGUGACGGGUAGCCGGCAUGAGAGGGUGGGCGGCCGCACGGGGACUGAGACACGGCCCAGACUGCUGCGGGAGGCAGCAGUGGGGGGUAUUGCACAAUGGGCGGAAGCCUGAUGCAGCGACGUCGCGUGAGGGAUGGAGGCCUUCGGGUUGUGAACCUCUUUCUCCGGUGGUGAAGGCCCUGUCCGUUGCGGCGGGGUUGACGGUAGCCGGGUAUGAAGCGCCGGCUAACUACGUG